CCUCUCUCUCCUCCGGCCCGUGGAGUAGAAGAACUCAAGAGAUGGAUGGGAUCUCAUCAGUGGAGUUGGAGGUCCUGCGGUGAGAAAUGGAGCUCCUCUCGCUGCAGUCUCCAUCGGCCUCCCGCCUGCCGCUCUGCUUCGCGAAGAGCUCGCAUCGUCCGUCGGAGAGAACCAGCUUUCUCUCCGGCCAGCCCCUCAGCUUCCAGAGCGCCGGCAGUAGCACCAGGUGUCCGAAUGCCAGGAGAAGGCUCAGAUUCAUCGGCGUCACGCCUCGAACAGCGGGUAUUGUCGCACGCUCUCAGUUGUGGAACGGGAUUUUUUCGCGUAGGGAUGCGUUUAGUUUCCGAGUCUUUCGAGAUCGUUCUUGCUGGGCACAUUGUUUGUGGCUCUUAAUUAUUUGAUUGCUAUUCUAAUCGUCACUCAUGCUUAAAUUCUCAAAAUAAAAAAAAUCAUCCUAAAGCAGUAUAAAAAUCCUAUUAAGAAACUGGAUCCCCAAUCAAAAGUCCUUUAACCUUGUUUUUUUUUUUUUUUUUGGUAGCAUGUGUUUCAGUUUACGGGAUACUAUCUUCUCCGUUUCUUCAAUGUACAUUGCGAUCAUUUAUUAACUGUAAGCAUAUUUCAUCGUGUAUAGUCAAUAAAAUAAUGACGAGCAUAACAAGGUAAUGCCCAACGCCAACAUCAACUUUUGUCGCGAUCAUAGAAAUUGCUACGAUCAUUCAAUCAACUUUUCCUUUGAACAGUUGUAUUGGUUUUAUUGUUAUUUUUCUGCUUCGUGGGUUCUUUUUAUUAGGUACGAGAUUAAUUCGGCGUUAUUUAAGACGCCUUGGCGUAAAACCGGCUUCAUACGCCGUUGAUUGAUUGAUGAGACCUAUCCUGGAAGUUCUCGUCACAACUUCUUUGUUCCUGUUUGAAACUCUGAAAUAUUUGAACGUCACCUGACGGAUUUCUUGUGAAAUGGUUGGCUCCAUGGAAUUCUGAAGAGUCAAUCGAUCUCAAUGAUGCCACAGCCCUCACGAUUUGUAAUUCUGGACAUUUUUUUAUCAUACGAUCCUCAAAGGCACCCCGGACUUCUUUCUUGCUCCAACAAUGACCAGGUUAUCUGAACCAGAAACUUAUCAAUUAAUUUUUCUUGUAUUUUACCGAUAUUCUAAAAUUCCUGUAAAAAUAAUCACCACAACUAAAUUUGAAGUUCAGAAAGAUAUAGCACGGAGUUUCUAAGUACCUGGAUGCGUUUCUAAGUGCCUAUUUUCAGAUGCCGUGAGCCUUGUGCCGGGAUUCAGAUUACAAUGGGCAGGACGAUUGAUCCGGGUUGACUGGCAUGUAUUGGGGGA
Molecule: long non-coding RNA, 1331 nt
Filed under: Spirodela polyrhiza (greater duckweed)
Lineage: Eukaryota; Viridiplantae; Streptophyta; Magnoliopsida; Alismatales; Araceae
Description: long non-coding RNA (SPOL_LNC001333)
Source: RNAcentral